Molecule: long non-coding RNA, 3357 nt
Filed under: Mus caroli (Ryukyu mouse)
Lineage: Eukaryota; Metazoa; Chordata; Mammalia; Rodentia; Muridae
Description: RIKEN cDNA 4921518K17 gene (MGP_CAROLIEiJ_G0002780.1)
Source: RNAcentral
GUCGUUUGUGAUAUGCACCUCAUCUUUCCUAUGCUUUCAGAACUCUGGAGGCCAGGAAUCAGUUAUAAUUGUGCACUUGGGAGUUAGAGAAUCUUACAGCUCUUAAAGUAUCUACCUCUUCCCAUCUUGACUCAAACUUGUUACAAUUUCUCUUCUACAAAGCUUCCUCCUGUUCCACCUGGAAGAUGCUUGACAGAGUCUCGGGGAGCUCCUCAUAAAUACUCGGCUGGAGAAAAAUGAAAGAACAAAAGGUUCAUCUUGUCGGUCCUUCCACAGCCUUCAGUUCUACAGUGUAUUCUGUCCAGUGACAGAAUGGUCUUCUUUCCCCAUAGCACACAGAAAUGGAAUGGGAGACCAGCAGGAGGGGCCGGGAAGACAGGAAGAUCACAAAAACUAAAAGUAUAUAUAAAAAUGCCACGAGGGGUUCCAUAGGCUUCAUACGCUAAUUCUCAAAAUAACUCAUAGUAAGGGGAAAGCAACCCUGUUCCUCUGAAACUUUUUCUAGCAGCAGCUCGGAUGUAGUCUGUGAUCUGAUCCUCUGCCAAUACUCAAUCGGCUAAUAAAUGGACUCUAAGAGACUUCACAGUUGUGAAGUGACGGUUCCCUACAACUCUCCACGACAGUUCUGCCUGUGCCUGGACUGCUCACGUUGGGCACAUGGUCACAUGGUACAGCCACAGGAGCUACCGUGAAAUAAGAACAAUAGAAAAGAGGGUCUUCUAGCUCUCAGGUUUCAAGGGAACCUCGCAGAAUGGAAGGAAAAGGAGAAGAAAAAUCACCGGUGAUUUCAGAUGGGAGAGUGAUGAGUUUGACUCUUCCUUUUGCACUUCCUCGCCUCUCUGAACUGAAUUUCUUGGCCAGAGUAAACUCGCAGGGAAGUAUUAAAUGCAAGAUGCUGUUGGGAUGAGGGUUUCUACCCAGCACUCAGGGUAAAUCCAAAAUAGAGAAACAACAGGGAGAUAUAUUCAUUGGGAACGGAAAACAGAAAUGACCUAGGACCACUUCCCAUGGAGAAGCUAAAAGCAGCACGCUUCCGGGGAAGAAAUGGACAAGUGUGUAGCAUGCCAAGGCACUGGAGCAGCGUGUGAUUCUCAGAGCGCUUACAAGGCCCAGCCGGCACAGCCUGAGAAUGACAAAUUACUUCUGUGUGCCCCACAGGUAGAUACAGAUUAGAAUGUUUGGGGCAAAGAUGGAUGCCUCAGCAGAAGUGCUCAGUAUGGCCUAUGACACAGGGAAACUGUACCCCAAUAUCUAGUCAACAUACCUACUUGGAAGAUACUUAAUAUGAACCCAAACUAUUUUAUAAAUUAACUGCACCUAAUAAUAAUAGCAAUAAUAAUAAUAAGCAAAAACAAAAAAUCAGUCUUCCAUCACAUCCGGCAUAGUUUUCACAUGUCCUGUGUGAUGGUUUGUAUAUGCUUGGCCCAAAGAGUGGCACUAUUAAAAGGUGUGUCCCUGUUAGAGUUUGUGUGUCACUGUGGGUGUGGGCUUUAAGACCCUCAUCCUAGCUGCCUGGAAGCCAGUAUUCUGCUAACAGUCUUCAGAUGAAGAUGUAGACCUCUCAGCUCCUCUUGUACCAUGCUUCUCUGGAUGUUGCCAUGUUCCUGCCAUGAUGAUACUGGGCUGAACCUCUGAAUCUGUAAGCCAGCCCCAGUUAAAUGUUGUUCUUAUAAGAGUUGCCUUAGGUCACUGUGUCUGUUCAAAGCAGAAAAAAACCCUAAAUAAAGUAUCCUGGAAAACAUGCCAGUAAAAUAUAACAGUUUAUGAAUAUAUAAGGCCAGAAUCUAAUACCAUUUUAUAUAUAUAAACACAAAAGAUUUCCCCAUUUAACUACACUGUAUUAUUAUCCAGGUAUGGCACUACUAUGCCAGUUGUAGCCUCUUUUAUUAUUUAUUAUUAUUAUUGUUAUUAUUAUUUAUACAAGUACAUUGCAGUUGUCUUCAGACACAUACUAGAAGAGUACAUCAGAUCCCAUUACAGAUGGUUGUGAGCCACCAUGUGGUUGUUGGGAAUUGAAUGCAAGACCUUUCAGAAGAGCAGUCAGUGCUCUUAACCACUGAGCCAUCUCUCCAGCCCUGUAGCCUCUCUGUUAACAGCACUUUUAUCACCAAGCUCAUCUGUCUCUCUCUCUGCAAUUACACAAAUGUACACACUGAAUAAAGAAGCCCAUUCUGUAAAUGGAGCACCAGGCAUACUGGGAUUAGCAGCCAAAUGAAACAGAUGAAUGGAUUUUUGUUAAUAAGGAAGAGGUGUUAUAAUAUUAUUGUUAGUUGAUGCGAUUUUCAACAAAAUGUUAAUAAUUUUUCAACGACUACACACUGAAGCCGUUCACUUCAUUUUGAAUAGCCUGCUCUUCCCUCUACAACUGUCCAUGAAGGUCUAUUUCUCCAUGUCUUCUUGUAUCAUCUUUUUUUUUCCAAUCCUUUCUGUACUGUUAUUGUCUAGUAAUAAGUUAUUUUUCUUUCCAGAAACUGAUUGUGUCCUGAUGUGUUAAGAUUCCAACCUAUGAGACUUGUUUGAAUCUUAAGGCACUUUGUCACCCUGUCCCAUGUCAAUAUUGCUUUGAUGUUCCAUUUAAGCAGAGUAUCAUUUGUUCCAUUUCAAGAGUCCUUAACUGGUCUUAGCAUACGUGGCUGUUUCUCCUGCUGCACACACAUUAGUCUGACAUUGGUAUCCUGCUGUAUGUUCUGGUGCUGACUGCAUUGCCUACUUUGUUCUUUCAUUCUCUGGUCCUUCUGGCACACUACAGUUCCUUACAUUCAUGAUUCAAAAUGUAUCAAUAGAUAAAAGCUUGUGACAACUGCAUUAUGGAAUUUCAUUACAAAUCAUGAUCGUUUUCCCUGUAUGUUACAAAUAAGUCAUAUUAAUCUUGACAUCACUAUACAGACAAAAAAAAGAUAACUAUGAAUUUUAUUUCAUGACAGUAAAUAGGAUAAAAUAUAUCAAAUAAGAAGAAAAAGCUAGACUAGCUACCUCAGAGAUGUCAUCUCACCAUCCAAAGUCCUCCAUUCCUUAAAUACCACAGGACAGUGUUGCCUUGGGACUCUGCGUUGCCCUUCCCUGCACCUGGAACAACCCUCUUCUACUCAUAAACCAUAUGUCCUUCAGACAGGCCCAAGUGACUCAGUCUCUGGCUUCCUGCUAGCAAGAAUGCAGAUGGGAUAGAUUAUCUGUGGUAGCCAUACUGGACCUCAAGAUGACCGUGGGAACGGGGAUCACGGGAGGCGGGGCUAUGAGCUGACAGGAAUCUAGACCUUGGCCUGCCAGAUGCCGUAUCUCUCCUGCAUUACCUUUAUAAGACUUUUUUUUUUUUUGAACGAGGAAGAAAUAAACUUUGAUGUAGUCUGAGCCACUGUU